This 2902-nucleotide ribosomal RNA is filed under the name Escherichia coli. Its description in RNAcentral is "23S ribosomal RNA". It matches the Rfam family "Bacterial large subunit ribosomal RNA". Lineage: Bacteria; Pseudomonadati; Pseudomonadota; Gammaproteobacteria; Enterobacterales; Enterobacteriaceae. The record is from RNAcentral.
GGUUAAGCGACUAAGCGUACACGGUGGAUGCCCUGGCAGUCAGAGGCGAUGAAGGACGUGCUAAUCUGCGAUAAGCGUCGGUAAGGUGAUAUGAACCGUUAUAACCGGCGAUUUCCGAAUGGGGAAACCCAGUGUGAUUCGUCACACUAUCAUUAACUGAAUCCAUAGGUUAAUGAGGCGAACCGGGGGAACUGAAACAUCUAAGUACCCCGAGGAAAAGAAAUCAACCGAGAUUCCCCCAGUAGCGGCGAGCGAACGGGGAGCAGCCCAGAGCCUGAAUCAGUGUGUGUGUUAGUGGAAGCGUCUGGAAAGGCGCGCGAUACAGGGUGACAGCCCCGUACACAAAAAUGCACAUGCUGUGAGCUCGAUGAGUAGGGCGGGACACGUGGUAUCCUGUCUGAAUAUGGGGGGACCAUCCUCCAAGGCUAAAUACUCCUGACUGACCGAUAGUGAACCAGUACCGUGAGGGAAAGGCGAAAAGAACCCCGGCGAGGGGAGUGAAAAAGAACCUGAAACCGUGUACGUACAAGCAGUGGGAGCCUCUUUAUGGGGUGACUGCGUACCUUUUGUAUAAUGGGUCAGCGACUUAUAUUCUGUAGCAAGGUUAACCGAAUAGGGGAGCCGAAGGGAAACCGAGUCUUAACUGGGCGUUAAGUUGCAGGGUAUAGACCCGAAACCCGGUGAUCUAGCCAUGGGCAGGUUGAAGGUUGGGUAACACUAACUGGAGGACCGAACCGACUAAUGUUGAAAAAUUAGCGGAUGACUUGUGGCUGGGGGUGAAAGGCCAAUCAAACCGGGAGAUAGCUGGUUCUCCCCGAAAGCUAUUUAGGUAGCGCCUCGUGAACUCAUCUCCGGGGGUAGAGCACUGUUUCGGCAAGGGGGUCAUCCCGACUUACCAACCCGAUGCAAACUGCGAAUACCGGAGAAUGUUAUCACGGGAGACACACGGCGGGUGCUAACGUCCGUCGUGAAGAGGGAAACAACCCAGACCGCCAGCUAAGGUCCCAAAGUCAUGGUUAAGUGGGAAACGAUGUGGGAAGGCCCAGACAGCCAGGAUGUUGGCUUAGAAGCAGCCAUCAUUUAAAGAAAGCGUAAUAGCUCACUGGUCGAGUCGGCCUGCGCGGAAGAUGUAACGGGGCUAAACCAUGCACCGAAGCUGCGGCAGCGACGCUUAUGCGUUGUUGGGUAGGGGAGCGUUCUGUAAGCCUGUGAAGGUGUGCUGUGAGGCAUACUGGAGGUAUCAGAAGUGCGAAUGCUGACAUAAGUAACGAUAAAGCGGGUGAAAAGCCCGCUCGCCGGAAGACCAAGGGUUCCUGUCCAACGUUAAUCGGGGCAGGGUGAGUCGACCCCUAAGGCGAGGCCGAAAGGCGUAGUCGAUGGGAAACAGGUUAAUAUUCCUGUACUUGGUGUUACUGCGAAGGGGGGACGGAGAAGGCUAUGUUGGCCGGGCGACGGUUGUCCCGGUUUAAGCGUGUAGGCUGGUUUUCCAGGCAAAUCCGGAAAAUCAAGGCUGAGGCGUGAUGACGAGGCACUACGGUGCUGAAGCAACAAAUGCCCUGCUUCCAGGAAAAGCCUCUAAGCAUCAGGUAACAUCAAAUCGUACCCCAAACCGACACAGGUGGUCAGGUAGAGAAUACCAAGGCGCUUGAGAGAACUCGGGUGAAGGAACUAGGCAAAAUGGUGCCGUAACUUCGGGAGAAGGCACGCUGAUAUGUAGGUGAAGUCCCUCGCGGAUGGAGCUGAAAUCAGUCGAAGAUACCAGCUGGCUGCAACUGUUUAUUAAAAACACAGCACUGUGCAAACACGAAAGUGGACGUAUACGGUGUGACGCCUGCCCGGUGCCGGAAGGUUAAUUGAUGGGGUCAGCGCAAGCGAAGCUCUUGAUCGAAGCCCCGGUAAACGGCGGCCGUAACUAUAACGGUCCUAAGGUAGCGAAAUUCCUUGUCGGGUAAGUUCCGACCUGCACGAAUGGCGUAAUGAUGGCCAGGCUGUCUCCACCCGAGACUCAGUGAAAUUGAACUCGCUGUGAAGAUGCAGUGUACCCGCGGCAAGACGGAAAGACCCCGUGAACCUUUACUAUAGCUUGACACUGAACAUUGAGCCUUGAUGUGUAGGAUAGGUGGGAGGCUUAGAAGUGUGGACGCCAGUCUGCAUGGAGCCGACCUUGAAAUACCACCCUUUAAUGUUUGAUGUUCUAACGUUGACCCGUAAUCCGGGUUGCGGACAGUGUCUGGUGGGUAGUUUGACUGGGGCGGUCUCCUCCUAAAGAGUAACGGAGGAGCACGAAGGUUGGCUAAUCCUGGUCGGACAUCAGGAGGUUAGUGCAAUGGCAUAAGCCAGCUUGACUGCGAGCGUGACGGCGCGAGCAGGUGCGAAAGCAGGUCAUAGUGAUCCGGUGGUUCUGAAUGGAAGGGCCAUCGCUCAACGGAUAAAAGGUACUCCGGGGAUAACAGGCUGAUACCGCCCAAGAGUUCAUAUCGACGGCGGUGUUUGGCACCUCGAUGUCGGCUCAUCACAUCCUGGGGCUGAAGUAGGUCCCAAGGGUAUGGCUGUUCGCCAUUUAAAGUGGUACGCGAGCUGGGUUUAGAACGUCGUGAGACAGUUCGGUCCCUAUCUGCCGUGGGCGCUGGAGAACUGAGGGGGCUGCUCCUAGUACGAGAGGACCGGAGUGGACGCAUCACUGGUGUUCGGGUUGUCAUGCCAAUGGCACUGCCCGGUAGCUAAAUGCGGAAGAGAUAAGUGCUGAAAGCAUCUAAGCACGAAACUUGCCCCGAGAUGAGUUCUCCCUGACUCCUUGAGAGUCCUGAAGGAACGUUGAAGACGACGACGUUGAUAGGCCGGGUGUGUAAGCGCAGCGAUGCGUUGAGCUAACCGGUACUAAUGAACCGUGAGGCUUAACCUU